CAUCACCAGUUGGGGAAACCCCCCAGGGGCAGUGUUGUGCUGGCUGUAGCCAUGUACAAACGUCAAAUAACGGCUCAUUCCAUCACCUAUAUUUAGCAAACUACUGUAGCACAAUAGCCGCCAGUGCAAUGUCUCGAGUGGGAUUAUUGUUUUUAUCUAAUACAUUUGCAAACAUUUCUAAAAACCUGUUUUAAACUUUGACAUAUGGCUGCUACUAAAGGGGUAGAUAGUUCAAUAGUAAUAUCCUCUAAAACGCUCCGGUGACAAACAAACUCUGCUGCCCUGUUUCCAAUCGUCCACAUGGCUGGGAGAACCUAUUCAAGUAAAUACCUUGUAACUGGAGAUUCCUUCAAAACGAUUGCCUACAGUUAAUGUGUAGGGCACAGCAAGGUUGGGUGACUAGGGCCAUCUGGGACUGCCUGCUGGAGGAAUUCAGGUGUGUGAAGGAGCAAUUCAGGUGUGUGAAGGCUACCUGUGUCCUGCAUAACUUCAUGAGGAUAUACACAAGGACCAGGAGGGGAUCUGCAGCUCCCCGCCGUGUGCCAGAGGAAAAGUCUGCUGCUCUGCAGGAUGUUUUAAGGAUGGGGUCCAACAAUACAGCAAGAGAGGCAAUCUGUGUGCGGGAGAUCUUCACCUCCUACUUCUUUCGAAGAGGGUGCUGUUCCCUGGCAACACCAUAGACUACACUAUGCACAACCAAAGGCUCUUUUAAGAGCCAUUCACAUUGCAAUAAGAGUAUUCUUCCAUUUACUUAGCUAUGUCAACUGCAGUUAUUCAAUUCCCAGUUUCUCUCCCUUUGAUUUCUACUUCUCAGGUGAGGAUGCUGUUUAGGUAAGGGUGUGAUGUUUGUACAAAAACAAAACAGGCUAUUUUAAAUCACCCAUAUUGAAAAAAUGUAGAACAAUUAGACACCCUAUAACCCACACCUACACACUCAUGUAUCAAUCUGAUUGAUGGAUUAUGUUGUGCAGUAAGAAGGCUCAGGUGUAUAACUGUGGCUCCUUCCACCUUCAAAGAAUAGGCAAGAGUGCCAACUAUGGAGAAUAAUAAGACACUUAAUUAUUUCUAUAACUACGCUAUAUUGUUUGUUCUUGUGUUUCCGUUCAUGUGUUUCAGCAUAAAGUACUCUCCAGCCACUUAGUGUGGUGUGGACACCAGGUUAUAUCAGCUGUGUCGGUGAACACCUCCCGCAUCUGAACUGGCUACAUAGAGGGCACUUGGUCAGGUCAACAAGAAGUAUUAUUAAAGAGAUGUUUUACAUUGAGAUACAGAUAGAGAUGUAGUUGUCCCAGAGUUAAUGAUCCAAGAUAUGUUUUGAUGUGAGAGAGGAUGCCAACUCCCAGUCCCAUCAUCACCACCUCAUCCGCUCUUAAGAUAACCUUCGGGCCGACUAGAGACACUUAUGCAAUUGUGAUGAACUGAGAGAAUAUUUGGGUAGCAAUGAUUCAUUAAUCUUACCUCUUUCCCUUUGUCUUUUACACCUCUCACCACCUCUUUCUUCCUCUGUUUUAUAAUGUACAACAGAUGUACAUUGAAGUACAGAUUGAACUUGCAUUUAUAAUAUUACAAAUAUAUUUAUGCAUGUAUUUAUAACACUUGGAUAAUUAACUUCUUUCAAUAUAGUGUCACAUUCUCUACUGGUUGAAAUUAAAUCUCUCAUUUGAUGAAAUACUACACCUAUCCUGUGUUCAUCAGAUCAAUGCAGAUGAAGGGCAUUAGAUAUCGAGAUGAACCGGUUUUAGAGUAUUUACAUGAUGCCUAGGAAGUGUAGUGUACUGUUUCUUAAAUUAUAUUUCUGUAUGAAUUAUAUAUGAAUUACAAAUCAGCAUUUAACUAGUUAAAUCCUGUUUCUAGUCUAUUAGUUACAAUGUGUAACCAUUGAUGCCACAGGACCAAGAUUGGUAAACACUGUAGAAGUGUAUAAUUGUAAUACAUACAUGCAGACACAGUGUCAUUCAAAGACUGGAAUUUGAUACUCCUGGUAUUGGAUAUGACUG
Molecule: non-coding RNA, 1997 nt
Organism: Oncorhynchus mykiss (rainbow trout)
Lineage: Eukaryota; Metazoa; Chordata; Actinopteri; Salmoniformes; Salmonidae
Source: RefSeq, a predicted model, not a curated record